This 477-nucleotide ribosomal RNA is filed under the name uncultured bacterium. RNAcentral's name for it is "partial 16S ribosomal RNA". It matches the Rfam family "Bacterial small subunit ribosomal RNA", at positions 28 to 505 of the family's 1533-position model. The record is from RNAcentral.
GAUGAACGCUAGCGGGAGGCCUAACACAUGCAAGCCGAGCGGUAUUUGUUCUUCGGAACAGAGAGAGCGGCGCACGGGUGCGGAACACGUGUGCAACCUGCCUUUAUCUGGGGGAUAGCCUUUCGAAAGGAAGAUUAAUACCCCAUAAUAUAUUGAGUGGCAUCACUUGAUAUUGAAAACUCCGGUGGAUAGAGAUGGGCACGCGCAAGAUUAGAUAGUUGGUGAGGUAACGGCUCACCAAGUCAAUGAUCUUUAGGGGGCCUGAGAGGGUGAUCCCCCACACUGGUACUGAGACACGGCCCAGACUCCUACGGGAGGCAGCAGGGAGGAAUAUUGGACAGUGGUUUAGCGCCUGAUCCACCCAUCCCGCGUGAAGGACGACGGCCCUUGGGGUUGUAAACUUUUUUGUUAAAGGGAUAAACCUACUCUCGUGAGAGUAGCUGAAGGUACGAUACGAAUAAGCCCCGGCUAACCCCG